Molecule: ribosomal RNA, 932 nt
Filed under: Limosilactobacillus fermentum
Lineage: Bacteria; Bacillati; Bacillota; Bacilli; Lactobacillales; Lactobacillaceae
Description: bacterial SSU rRNA
Source: RNAcentral
CGCCAAUUCCCUUGAGUUUAGAGUUUGAUCAUGGCUCAGGAUGAACGCCGGCGGUGUGCCUAAUACAUGCAAGUCGAACGCGUUGGCCCAAUUGAUUGAUGGUGCUUGCACCUGAUUGAUUUUGGUCGCCAACGAGUGGCGGACGGGUGAGUAACACGUAGGUAACCUGCCCAGAAGCGGGGGACAACAUUUGGAAACAGAUGCUAAUACCGCAUAACAACGUUGUUCGCAUGAACAACGCUUAAAAGAUGGCUUCUCGCUAUCACUUCUGGAUGGACCUGCGGUGCAUUAGCUUGUUGGUGGGGUAAUGGCCUACCAAGGCGAUGAUGCAUAGCCGAGUUGAGAGACUGAUCGGCCACAAUGGGACUGAGACACGGCCCAUACUCCUACGGGAGGCAGCAGUAGGGAAUCUUCCACAAUGGGCGCAAGCCUGAUGGAGCAACACCGCGUGAGUGAAGAAGGGUUUCGGCUCGUAAAGCUCUGUUGUUAAAGAAGAACACGUAUGAGAGYAACUGUUCAUACGUUGACGGUAUUUAACCAGAAAGUCACGGCUAACUACGUGCCAGCAGCCGCGGUAAUACGUAGGUGGCAAGCGUUAUCCGGAUUUAUUGGGCGUAAAGAGAGUGCAGGCGGUUUUCUAAGUCUGAUGUGAAAGCCUUCGGCUUAACCGGAGAAGUGCAUCGGAAACUGGAUAACUUGAGUGCAGAAGAGGGUAGUGGAACUCCAUGUGUAGCGGUGGAAUGCGUAGAUAUAUGGAAGAACACCAGUGGCGAAGGCGGCUACCUGGUCUGCAACUGACGCUGAGACUCGAAAGCAUGGGUAGCGAACAGGAUUAGAUACCCUGGUAGUCCAUGCCGUAAACGAUGAGUGCUAGGUGUUGGAGGGUUUCCGCCCUUCAGUGCCGGAGCUWACGCAUUAMGCWSUUCCCGCUG